Molecule: ribosomal RNA, 406 nt
Filed under: uncultured bacterium
Lineage: Bacteria
Description: bacterial SSU rRNA
Rfam family: Bacterial small subunit ribosomal RNA
Source: RNAcentral
UGGGGAAUUUUGUGCAAUGGGGGAAACCCUGACACAGCGACACCGCGUGAACGAAGAAGCCCUUUGGGGUGUAAAGUUCUGUCGGCUGGAACGAAAAAAAUGACGGUACCAGCAAAGGAAGCAUCGGCUAACUACGUGCCAGCAGCCGCGGUAAGACGUAGGAUGCAAGCGUUGUCCGGAUUUAUUGGGCGUAAAGAGUUCGUAGGCGGUUCGUUAAGUCUGAUGUUAAAGACUGGGGCUCAACCCCGGGAGUGCAUUGGAUACUGGCGGACUGGAGUGUGGUAGAGGCUAGUGGAAUUCCCAGUGUAGCGGUGAAAUGCGUAGAUAUUGGGAAGAACACCAGUGGCGUAGGCGACUAGCUGGGCCAUAACUGACGCUGAGGAACGAAAGCCAGGGGAGCGAAUGG